GUUUGAUCUGGCUGAAAUCGCCAGAGCCGAGAACCGGCAGGUUGACCUGGAGGAACUCCGUGGUUGGGUGCAGAGGGCUAUCUGCAUUGCGGGCAGUGUAAAUGCCUUCCUGUCCAUUGAAAGGCGUAAAGCCAUUCUGUUCAAGAUUGAACCCAAACUGGCCAACCUUGCACUCACAGAGGCAGGCAAGGACGCCCAGAGCCUCUUAUUUGGGGACUCCUUUAUUAAGGACCAGGGACGCUUUGUGGGUGCAUUCACAGCCCUAGAUAAGGCCCAAUCCUCCAUGAAGAUGGUGUUUCAGGGGCGGGUCUCUACCAGGGCCGGCAGAUUCAGGGGUCGUCUGUCCGGCCGUUCCAAUUAC
Molecule: non-coding RNA, 361 nt
Organism: Pelobates cultripes (western spadefoot toad)
Lineage: Eukaryota; Metazoa; Chordata; Amphibia; Anura; Pelobatidae
Source: the annotation of a GenBank genome assembly